Molecule: long non-coding RNA, 286 nt
Organism: Mauremys reevesii (Reeves's turtle)
Lineage: Eukaryota; Metazoa; Chordata; Testudines; Geoemydidae
Exons: 3
Source: RefSeq, a predicted model, not a curated record
ACUGUUCACUUUGACUAUUGGAACAUCUGCAAACAAAGAUUAAAGGAAUGAGAGUCUGUAGCAGACAAAAUAGGUGAACCAAAGGAAACACUAAAGGGAGUGAAUCAGCAAGAAAGGUACUGGCUGAAAAGCUCAAUAGUGAUGGAAAACAAAGGGAGAACAAAUGCAACAUAAAGGCAUAAGUGGAAAGACCAUGGCAUAGAAAAUAAGUGGUCAAGGCAGCGUCUUCUCCCUUCAAAAGACCCAACUGCUGAUGAGGUAGAAAUCGAAUGGUGUGGUCUCCUAG